RNAcentral lists this ribosomal RNA (513 nucleotides) under uncultured bacterium. Its description in RNAcentral is "bacterial SSU rRNA". It matches the Rfam family "Bacterial small subunit ribosomal RNA", at positions 996 to 1509 of the family's 1533-position model. The record is from RNAcentral.
CUUAGCAGAGAUGCUUUGGUGCCUUCGGGAACGUCUGAGACAGGUGCUGCAUGGCUGUCGUCAGCUCGUGUUGUGAAAUGUUGGGUUAAGUCCCGCAACGAGCGCAACCCUUAUCCUUUGUUGCCAGCGGUUAGGCCGGGAACUCAAAGGAGACUGCCAGUGAUAAACUGGAGGAAGGUGGGGAUGACGUCAAGUCAUCAUGGCCCUUACGAGUAGGGCUACACACGUGCUACAAUGGCGCAUACAAGAGAAGCGACCUCGCGAGAGCAAGCGGACCUCAUAAAGUGCGUCGUAGUCCGGAUUGGAGUCUGCAACUCGACUCCAUGAAGUCGGAAUCGCUAGUAAUCGUGGAUCAGAAUGCCACGGUGAAUACGUUCCCGGGCCUUGUACACACCGCCCGUCACACCAUGGGAGUGGGUUGCAAAAGAAGUAGGUAGCUUAACCUUCGGGAGGGCGCUUACCACUUUGUGAUUCAUGACUGGGGUGAAGUCGUAACAAGGUAAGCGUAGUGCU